Long non-coding RNA from Theobroma umbraticum, 1926 nucleotides. RefSeq lists it as uncharacterized. Lineage: Eukaryota; Viridiplantae; Streptophyta; Magnoliopsida; Malvales; Malvaceae. The record is from RefSeq and is a predicted model, not a curated record.
UUUCUCUCUAUAGCAGCAACUCCUCUGCCUUCUCUCUAAAAAUUCUCAACUUUCCUUUUCCCUCUCUCAAACUUCUUUCCAAUCUCACUUCGAUCCUUCGGUCAUCGUCACCGUUGGCCUACCAACCCAAAGCCUUUUCUUUUCUUCUCCUUCACCGUCAGCCUUUUCCUUCUUCUCUUCUCUCUUUUUCUUUUUUUUUUCUUUCUCUUUCUUUCUCUUCAGCACCUAACGGCCCUAUUUCUUCCUUCAACGUCGAUCGGUCUUCUCUCUCCUUUUGCCGACCCUCUCUCUUCCUUCAGCAUCGACCUUGCUUGACAUUAAUCAAUGCUCGAUACUGACCUUGUUUUGUAUGCUUUUGACAGCAUUAUUUUCCAGCAUUUGAUGUUUUGAAAAUUUGUAUACAUUUCUCAAUGAAAUCCUAACUCUGCCACUCUUUUUGUCCUUUUGUGCAAAUUAAUUUGGUCACUCAUCCUAGGGCUGGUGAUCUUCGUGAACCACUUAAGUGUAUUUAUAACUUGUAUGUUGAGUAUGUUCCCAAGAAUCCACUCUAUACCCCUGAACUUCAAUUAGGUAAAUAGUCCUUUUUUUCUCAAUCUAAUAGUUACAUGUUUAUCUUUUGAGGAUUAUUCUGUUAUGACAACCACUGGUCAUCCUUUUUGGUUAAUGCUGCAUUUAUUUGCAUAUUUGUCUCUACAAACUGAAGUUUCUCACUAUUUUAAUUUUGUUGAAUAAAAAGGCAGAUGUUGUAAAUUAGUUAUGCUAUGAAUGAUUGUUUAAUAAAGGCAGAUGCUCAGUCCAACCGGUGUCUUUAUGAAAGUCUUUAAAUAGAAUGAGUGGAAUUUUGCUCAAGUAUAGGAAGGAAGGCAAGUAUGUGUGAGUAGUCUAAAUUGUGGGCUAGGCAUCAUUCUUGGAUGUAUUUUCUCUAUUUAAUGAACAUGCCAUUCUUGGAUAUGUAUACUCUCUUUAGUGAAGCCAAGAAAGUCAUUUUGCUAGCUCUAUAAAGAUGCAUUAACCAUGAAGUUUAAAUACUUCUUUCCUAGUCAAAGUUCCUUGGCAUGGUCAGCAUUUCAGCAGCUUCAAGAUGUGAGCAACCAAGAUUUUGUUGUUGAAGUUGUUUCUCUCUUCUUUGAUGAUUUUAAAAAACUGCUCAAUGAUCUGACCAUAGCUUUGUAAGAUCUCAGUCUGUGUCAGGUUUCUUCUUGCCAUAGCUAUCUUUUACUAUUAUUAUUUUUAUAUAUUUGAGUUUCUUAUUUUAUUUUCUCCUUAACUUUUUCUUUUUUGAUAUAGAGAUCGGCUACAUGUAUACUUCUAAAAGUUUGAUACACAUGUUCAUCAGUUGAAGGGUAACAGUUGCAAGUACUUAUAAAUUUUCCUUUCUUUAAUGUCAAGCCUUGAAAACUUAAAUUAUUUUUUUUUUCUACUUCAAAAAGCUUUUCUUGUUCCCUUUCUUUGGAAAUUUUGAUUUUUUCUUCAACAAUAGUUGAACCCCAUAAUUGCACUACAAAAAGUAUAAUUCAAAUGGAAAAAGGUCUGACUUGUUAGAUUUGACCAUUCAAUUGAUAGAGAAGUUAAAGUUGAAACAAGAUUUUUUGACAGUUGGGUUGCUUUUGUUUUUGCUCAUUGUUGUUUGAUGAGAAUGGUUGUUGUGUGUGUUUGUGUGUUAAACAGCAUUGUGCAUACAGAGUUAAAAAUGCUUGCAUUGCUUUUUACAACUUCUCUAAAGAGCAGAACAUUGCAACGUGCUUGAGAUGUCUUCAACAAGUGAAACAAGAGUAUUACCUUGUGAAUUUUAAAUACUUUUUUAGUAUGGCAUACAAUAACACAUUUAGCGUUGUGCUAUAUUUGUUUGACAUUUUGAGAUAUUAUGUGUUUAUGACAAUUUUUAAUUGCAUGAACUUAAUUUUGAAUUUUGGAUUUUAAUUUGUA